AUGGGCUCGCCUGCUGCAAGCAGAAGCAGCGCCCACCUCCUCCUCCUCCGCCUUCUCCUUCUCCUCAUCGCUGGCUUGCACCUAUCUGGAGCCCAAUCUCCCGUCCCCGCCCCCGCUCCGGCUCCCGCUCCAGUGACAGUGGCCCCUCCUACCCCUCUCGCUCCGCCCGCCGAUGCCCUCCCCCCUCCCGCUGUAGUCGCAGAUGCCUUCUCGUUCAGCUUCGACUUCACCGACAAAUCCAACUACCGCCAUGAUGACCUCAAGUUCGAGGGCGACGCCGCCGCCCACACCAACCAGGUCGACCUCACCUGCAACACCGAAGGUUGCGAUAAUGUGGGACGCGUGUCGUACGGGCACCCCGUGCCCUUGUACGACAGCGCCACCGGAGAGGUGGCCAGCUUCCAAACGAGAUUCACCUUCAACAUCUCCACCGACAACUACGCUACCAGGGGAGAUGGCAUGGCUUUCUUCCUCGCCUAUUUCAAUUCCACGAUUCCUUCGUCCUCGUGGGGCUGCCUCGGCCUCACGUCCCUAGAUGGAGGCGGCAGCAAUUGCCUGACCGCCUUGGGCACCGACCAGUUUUUGGCCGUGGAGUUCGACACGUUCCACGACACCUGGGACCCCUACGGCAACUACGACCACAUCGGCAUCGACAUCAACUCCAUGAUCUCGCUGAACACAACAAGCUUGACGAGCUUCAACAUCAGUUACGGCAACUCCAUGACGGCCAUCAUCACCUUUAACAGCACCACCCAGGUGCUUGUCGCCGACCUGUCCGAUGACGCUGGUAACUAUCCCCCCGUUCAGGUGAGCAAGCAGUUACACGAGCCGCUCAACACCAUGUUCCCGGCUCUAGUGGCUGUGGGGAUUUCUGGGGCCACCGGCGACAGCAUGGCGCAAAAUGGGAUACACUCGUGGUCCUUCAACUCGUCCCUUGCUCUGCCCCACAAAGGUAAAGAGAUGAAGCCAGCGAUAAUUGGAGGGUCAAUUGGAGGAGCUGUGGCAUUGGUGGUUGUGGUUUGGUGUAUCCUCUCGUGCUUCAGGUGGAAAAAGAGCACUAAAAGCCAUGAUUUUGUGACACGAACUGGAGGACCUAGACAGUUCGACUACCGUGAUCUGGUUGUUGCAACGGACAACUUCUCAGGGGAGAGGGUUAUUGGGCGAGGUGCCUUUGGAGUAGUCUAUAGGGGUACCUUGAUCUCCAAGGGAUCAUCAUCAUCAUCAUCAUCAUCAGUUGUGCACUCGAGAGAACCGGAUGCAUUGUCCUCCAUGGAAUCGGGUGCGUCAUCGAACAUCGAACCGAAGGAAUCAGACAGCGGUCAGGUGGCUGUAAAGAAAAUCUUGAAUGAGCCAAGGGGAGGAAAUCUUGACUUCGUCGCGGAGAUGAGCACCAUUAGUGCAGCAAAGCACAAGAAUCUCAUCAAACUGAAAGGUUGGUGCUGCAAAGAAAACAGCCAAAACAUGCUUGAUUUCAUGUGUUGGUCCUCCAGGAAGAAGAAAGAUGACGAGCUCUUCCUUGUCUAUGAACUGGUGCCUAAUGGUAAUCUGCAUUACCACCUACGUGAGAGUGAGCAAGUGAUAGCAUGGCCAACAAGGUACCAAAUCAUCAAAGACAUUGGCUCUGCUCUUAUUUACCUCCACCAUGAUUGUGCUCCUUAUAUUCUGCAUAGAGAUAUCAAACCAAGCAACAUACUCCUAGACAACAAUUUCAACGCCAAGCUUGCUGACUUCGGGUUGUCGAGGAUCGGCAACCAGGACAAUGCAACAUUAUUGACAAACGCCAUAGGGACAGAAGGGUACAUAGAUCCAGAAUGCAGGAAAGUUGGAAAAGUAAAGUUCUACCCGAGCUCCGAUGUCUACAGCUUCGGAAUCGUCCUGCUAGACAUUGUAUGCACAGGGAAGUCGAGGGAGCAAGUCUGGGAGUUGUACAUAAGAGGAAAGGUCAUGGAGGCUGCAGAUGGAAGGCUUCAUGGCGGCGACGACUUGGACAAGAGGCAGAUGCAGCGCGUGGCUAUCCUGGGACUCUGGUGUUCUCUUCUUGACAGUUCCAUGAGGCCUACCGUUAGGAAAGCAAUGGAGGUCUUGGAACGUGACGAGCCGUUGCCUGACCUGAACUACUUGGUGAACACUUCGGUGCCCUCAGCACAACAAGACACCUACACCAUUAACUCUGACCAGCAUGCACUUAUGAUAGAUGAGAGCUAG
Molecule: ribosomal RNA, 2205 nt
Filed under: Triticum aestivum (bread wheat)
Lineage: Eukaryota; Viridiplantae; Streptophyta; Magnoliopsida; Poales; Poaceae
Description: partial small subunit ribosomal RNA
Source: RNAcentral